GCCUGUCCUGAUCAGGGAUGACACAGAAAAUAAAACCUUCAUUGUGACAAUGAGUGGGCUGGAGAGGAAGGACACUGGCUGGCAUUGGUGUGCUGCUGGAAACCUGCAGAUUCCAGUUCAUAUAACUGUCAAACAAGGAGGGGAUAAUGAAAAACUGAGGUGGGAGCAGGUUCUGGAUGCUGUACUGAAAGCUGGGACUGGUGUGUUUUAUCUGAUUUGCACCAUCAUCACCAUUCAGCUGCACUGGACCUCCUGUAGAAAGCGGGAACCAAUCAGAGAGAAGCAGAGGGU
Long non-coding RNA from Brienomyrus brachyistius, 291 nucleotides. RefSeq lists it as uncharacterized. The transcript is spliced from 3 exons. The record is from RefSeq and is a predicted model, not a curated record. Lineage: Eukaryota; Metazoa; Chordata; Actinopteri; Osteoglossiformes; Mormyridae.